This 468-nucleotide ribosomal RNA is filed under the name uncultured bacterium. RNAcentral's name for it is "partial 16S ribosomal RNA". It matches the Rfam family "Bacterial small subunit ribosomal RNA", at positions 28 to 507 of the family's 1533-position model. The record is from RNAcentral.
GACGAACGCUGGCGGCGUGCUUAACACAUGCAAGUCGAACGGAAAGGCCCUGCUUUUGUGGGGUGCUCGAGUGGCGAACGGGUGAGUAACACGUGAGUAACCUGCCCUUGACUUUGGGAUAACUUCAGGAAACUGGGGCUAAUACCGGACAGGAGAUCCUGCUGCAUGGUGGGGGUUGGAAAGUUUCGGCGGUUGGGGAUGGACUCGCGGCUUAUCAGCUCGUUGGUGGGGUAGUGGCUUACCAAGGCUUUGACGGGUAGCCGGCCUGAGAGGGUGACCGGCCCCAUUGGGACUGAGAUACGGCCCAGACUCCUACGGGAGGCAGCAGUGGGGGAUAUUGCACAAUGGGCGGAAGCCUGAUGCAGCAACGCCGCUUGCGGGAUGACGGCCUUCGGGUUGUAAACCGCUUUCGCCUGUGACGAAGCGUGAGUGACGGUAAUGGGUAAAGAAGCACCGGCUAACUACGUG